CCAGACUCCUACGGGAGGCAGCAGUGAGGAAUAUUGGUCAAUGGGCGGAAGCCUGAACCAGCCAAGUCGCGUGAGGGAAGAAGGCCCUGCGGGUCGCAGACCUCUUUGGACGGGGAGCAAGGCCGCCGACGUGUCGGCGGAAGGAGAGUACCCGUAGAACAAGCAUCGGCUAACUCCGUGCCAGCAGCCGCGGUAAUACGGAGGAUGCGAGCGUUAUCCGGAUUUAUUGGGUUUAAAGGGUGCGCAGGCGGCACGGCAAGCCGGGGGUGAAAGCGCGGGGCUCAACCCCGGCCAGCCGUCGGAACUGCCGGGCUAGAGUGGGCGAGAAGUGCGCGGAAUGCGUGGGGUAGCGGGGAAAUGCAUAGAUAUCACGAAGAACCCCGAUUGCGAAGGCAGCAUACCGGCUCCACACUGACGCUGAGGCACGAAAGCGUGGGGAUCGAACAGGAUUAGAUACCCGAGUAGA
RNAcentral lists this ribosomal RNA (466 nucleotides) under uncultured bacterium. RNAcentral's name for it is "partial 16S ribosomal RNA". It matches the Rfam family "Bacterial small subunit ribosomal RNA", at positions 331 to 794 of the family's 1533-position model. The record is from RNAcentral.